Molecule: transfer RNA, 74 nt
Filed under: Haplopteris ensiformis
Lineage: Eukaryota; Viridiplantae; Streptophyta; Polypodiopsida; Polypodiales; Pteridaceae
Also listed under: 1 other name
Description: tRNA-Met
Rfam family: tRNA
About the family: Transfer RNA (tRNA) molecules are approximately 80 nucleotides in length. Their secondary structure includes four short double-helical elements and three loops (D, anti-codon, and T loops).
Source: RNAcentral
CGCGGAGUGGAGCAGCUUGGUAGCUCGCGAGGCUCAUAACCUCGAGGUCACGGGUUCAAAUCCCGUCUCCGCAA